CGGCACGGGUGAGUAACACGUAUGCAACCUGGCCGUCACAGGUGGAUAACCGGAAGAAAUUCCGACUAAUACAGCAUAACACUCCUGAGGGACAUCCUUCGGGAGUCAAAGGAGGCAACUCCGGUGACGGAUGGGCAUGCGGCGCAUUAGGUAGUUGGUAGGGUAACGGCCUACCAAGCCGACGAUGCGUAGGGGUUCUGAGAGGAAGGUCCCCCACAUUGGAACUGAGACACGGACCAGACUCCUACGGAAGGCAGCAG
This 260-nucleotide ribosomal RNA is filed under the name uncultured bacterium. Its description in RNAcentral is "partial 16S ribosomal RNA". It matches the Rfam family "Bacterial small subunit ribosomal RNA", at positions 98 to 354 of the family's 1533-position model. The record is from RNAcentral.